GCCAACGUAGCUCAAUCGGUAGAGCAAUCGCUUCGUAAGCGAUCGGUUAGGAGUUCGAUUCUCCUCGUUGGCU
Molecule: transfer RNA, 73 nt
Filed under: Chloroflexota bacterium
Lineage: Bacteria; Bacillati; Chloroflexota
Also listed under: 1 other name
Description: Chloroflexi bacterium tRNA-Thr
Rfam family: tRNA
About the family: Transfer RNA (tRNA) molecules are approximately 80 nucleotides in length. Their secondary structure includes four short double-helical elements and three loops (D, anti-codon, and T loops).
Source: RNAcentral